UGAAACAAUGGAUUCGGUUAACGAAAUUUUCGGUUAACAAACGACUCUGUGGAACGAAUCGUGUUCGUUAACCGAGGGACCACUAUACAUACAAAAUGCAAGAAAAUGUGAGUGCAUGUAACUUCUAUAUUAUGAUGUGCAUGCUGUGUCAUAACCCACGAGCUUGUACUCAGUCACCUUCACCCGGUUAAGUCCACAUGUUUUUAUUCCUUUUUGCUCAUGUUUUACUCAGCUGUUCUUGAAUGUGUAACUAGGAUUUUUUUUUUAUAUUUGACAUGUUCAUACAUCAAGAAAAAGAAGUCUUCUCUUUCAGCUUUUGUAAUUAAGCUUGAGGGUCACGAUGCCAAUGGAGAAAAAAAUUACUGACCCACUACUCGAACCUGUUUAUAAUUCGUAAAGGGAAAUUAGGAUUGUCCUUUUCCCCAUCUCUCGUUGAUGCCGCCAUACAGUAUCAGUCUACACCUGACACACCUGUAGCCCCCUGCAGGACCAGUGGUGAUGCUGCCUACAUAGUGCGUCUAUGGACACCAAGUAUGGUAGAUGACCAGCCACAGUAACCAAGAUGACAACAUUACUGGCAAGAAGCCACUUUAUGAGCUACCAGAGAUUAUAUUUAAGCUAAUGGUAGUCACUUUACCCUGAGGAAUUUGGCUGGAUCAGUUUUGUUUUUGUUUUUAGUUUUUUUAGAAUAUCAGAUAUAAAUCUUUUAUACAAGCAGUUAUUAAAUUUUAAGUGUUACAUUUCUGUAAUUACUUCUCCUACACAAUAAAUGUUCUUAGUAUCAGUCAUACAAAAUGUUCUUUCUCUUUUAACUUUACUCAUAACAUGAAUCAUUCUCUGAUAAUGGAUGGGUUCAUAUAAAGUUUAGGGUUAGGGUGGUAAUAAAAGCGUGUUUUUGUGGCCAAGAUAGUCCACAUCAUAUUUCAGUGCUCAUUUAUAUCCACAAAUAAUUGGAUGCUUGUAACCAUACGGGAGUCUUCAGGUUGUUGGUUACUGAACUAUCAUGUGAAUUAUUUCUAAUUUCAAAAAAAUCUUGAGAGCCAGAUAAAGACAAGGCACAGGAUUCUUGGGUGUAUUUUACACUAUUGCUGUGUCCUUAAAGUACUAGUAACCUGUAUAUAAUUUCAGUAUUCUACUCAUUAUGGCCAAUUUUGAACCAAAAAGUUUGACCAAUAUUACAGAGUGUUCUCCAAGCAUAAUUUCCCAUUACAUCUUGUACUGUUGGCUGAUAUGCACCAAGUGUAUGGUAUGUAAGGGUUAUAUAUUUUUAGUGAGAAUCCUAUGUUCAGAUACUGUACAGUAUGUGAACUCUGGGUUCUUUUUACCCAGCCAUUCGAAACUUCGGCAAUACAGUAUUCCAAUCCCAAUUAAAUAUACGGUACUGUAUUUAAUGGAACAGGUAUGCUAAAUCUUAGAAAAAGGAAUUAUCAGAGGCUAGAAUGAAGAAAAUUCUAGGGAUAUCUUCUUCUCCAAUUCAUGGUGUUAGACAUAGUGAAUUAAGGUUUAUUACCGCUUGAAAGCUUUGCAACAGUUUACUUUGAUAAGUUGUUUCAUCCAACACUUCUAUCUUCAUAUACUUUUCCACUUUCUUACACAGUUCUCAAAAUUGUAUAUUUUAUUUUUACAAUGCAUGCUACUGUCCGUGUUGAGGACAGUGACUACUUAUGAGUUUGAGUAUUUAGGCUUUAUUUAUACUGUUUUGUUUUUGGAAUGAAUAUUAUAAUAUUCAUAUACUGUAGCCAGUUUAGGAGAAGGUUUGAGAUGUAUUACAGUACAGUAUGUUACUUGAGCAUUACAGCCUACAUUCCCAGAUUGUGUCCAUUAUCAUUACUGCAUUGUUAUUGCUCUUUUAUUUUAAAGUUGUGGUCUGAGAAAAUACUUGUUACUGUUCAUCCUCAGCAGAUCAUUAAUGGUUUUAUCUGUAUGAUUGAUAUAAUCUAGUUGAUUAUACCUCUAUGAGAAUUUCAACUUAAUUAUAAUUUUUUUUACUUUUUGGGGGGAUAAUUCACAUGCCCUUGACAUAAUUAAGCAUUUGUACAUUAUGUAACUACAAGUAAGAUAAAAUAAUUUAAGUGAAAAUUUUCUCUCAUGAUUGGAAGAGAAUUUCGUGACCAAAUGUACUGAUAUGAAUUAAUGUAAAUGGAAUAUGACUGUACAGUAUUGUGAUGCAGUUAGGGUUGGCACAGACCUUCACGCAACUGUAAAUAUCUCCCAUCACACUCAUAGUGAGAUAUGUUGUCAUGUUGUUUUUGCUGUUGGUUAUUGUAUUUGUAAAUAAUGGAAUUUUUUGUAUCAAGACAUAAAUGUACAUAAGUAUUUGUUUGUAAUUUUGUUUGUGAUUAACUUGUAAGAACCAUGCAUUGAAGUGUUAGUAGUUGUUCAUGACAGACAAUACUCAUUCUGUAUAUUAUAGGUAAAUGAAACAAAGGAACUAUAUGUUACCGUAAUUUUUGGCUCAUAAGUAAACUUAAAGUGAGUAAAUUCCCACUUUUUUUGGAUUUAAAUGUUAAUGUGCCCUGUAAGUCACAUUCAUACUGUCUCUAACUUGCUUCACAUUCUUUGUUAGUUUCUGAAAAUUUGAAGUUCACAUGUGAACUGAGAUUCUGUUACCUCAAUUACAGAUUUUAUAGGAUAGUGGGUCAUUUUAGGAUCUUUCAGCUAAGUCCACCGCCAGUAGGCCCCCAACAGAGGCAAUUAGAGCCUCAGUUGAUUCAUCAACCAAGCUGAAUGGUGUUAGCUAUAGUGAGAAUAACGUCGUUAGCAUAUUUUGUAUGACAAUUUUGGGUAACAAAACCCCGAAAGAGAAAGAUAUACAGUAUCUAAAAUCCUUAAUCCUUAAUUCAUGCUGAGGUUUGUGAAUGUUUAUAGCACCUCACUUUUGGACGACCCUCUUGUUUUAUGAACCACCACCUAAUUAUAGUAAAAGAGGUUGGAAAAAAUCACUUAAAUAAACUUGAUAAAGAAAUUAUUUCCUUUUCCUGUUCUGACUCAAUAAUCCACAUCUUUUUAUUUUUUUGGGGUUCUGUGUAUUACUGUGGAUCCUGUCUCCUGUGAAUGAUGAUCAUGGAUGACAUUAUGCAUUAAACAUCAAA
This is a long non-coding RNA of Homarus americanus (American lobster), 3092 nucleotides long. RefSeq lists it as uncharacterized. Lineage: Eukaryota; Metazoa; Arthropoda; Malacostraca; Decapoda; Nephropidae. The transcript has 3 exons. The record is from RefSeq and is a predicted model, not a curated record.